CCUACGGGAGGCAGCAGUGGGGAAUUUUCCGCAAUGGGCGAAAGCCUGACGGAGCAAUACCGCGUGAGGGAAGAAUGCCUACGGGUUGUAAACCUCUUUUAUCAGGGAGGAACAAAAUGACGUGUACCUGAUGAAUAAGCAUCGGCUAACUCUGUGCCAGCAGCCGCGGUAAGACAGAGGAUGCAAGUGUUAUCCGGAAUUACUGGGCGUAAAGCGUCUGUAGGUUGUUGAACAAGUCAACUGUUAAAUCUUGAAGCUCAACUUCAAAAUCGCAGUCGAAACUGUUUGACUAGAGUAUAGUAGAGGUAAAGGGAAUUUCCAGUGGAGCGGUGAAAUGCGUAGAUAUUGGAAAGAACACCGAUGGCGAAAGCACUUUACUGGGCUAUUACUGACACUCAGAGACGACAGCUAGGGUAGCAAAUGGGAUUAGAUACCCCAGUAGUCCUAGCCGUAAACUAUGGAUACUAGAUGUUGAACAGAUCGACCUGUGCAGUAUUAAAGCUAACGCGUUAAGUAUCCCGCCUGGGAAGUAUGCUCGCAAAGAGNGAACACAAGAAGUAGACGCGUGAGACGUGCCGACGACGACGACGAGGGAGGUUAGG
This 602-nucleotide ribosomal RNA is filed under the name uncultured bacterium. RNAcentral describes it as "bacterial SSU rRNA". It matches the Rfam family "Bacterial small subunit ribosomal RNA", at positions 338 to 950 of the family's 1533-position model. The record is from RNAcentral.